Molecule: ribosomal RNA, 2802 nt
Filed under: Escherichia coli
Lineage: Bacteria; Pseudomonadati; Pseudomonadota; Gammaproteobacteria; Enterobacterales; Enterobacteriaceae
Description: bacterial LSU rRNA
Rfam family: Bacterial large subunit ribosomal RNA
Source: RNAcentral
GGGUUGUGAGGUUAAGCGACUAAGCGUACACGGUGGAUGCCCUGGCAGUCAGAGGCGAUGAAGGACGUGCUAAUCUGCGAUAAGCGUCGGUAAGGUGAUAUGAACCGUUAUAACCGGCGAUUUCCGAAUGGGGAAACCCAGUGUGUUUCGACACACUAUCAUUAACUGAAUCCAUAGGUUAAUGAGGCGAACCGGGGGAACUGAAACAUCUAAGUACCCCGAGGAAAAGAAAUCAACCGAGAUUCCCCCAGUAGCGGCGAGCGAACGGGGAGCAGCCCAGAGCCUGAAUCAGUGUGUGUGUUAGUGGAAGCGUCUGGAAAGGCGCGCGAUACAGGGUGACAGCCCCGUACACAAAAAUGCACAUGCUGUGAGCUCGAUGAGUAGGGCGGGACACGUGGUAUCCUGUCUGAAUAUGGGGGGACCAUCCUCCAAGGCUAAAUACUCCUGACUGACCGAUAGUGAACCAGUACCGUGAGGGAAAGGCGAAAAGAACCCCGGCGAGGGGAGUGAAAAAGAACCUGAAACCGUGUACGUACAAGCAGUGGGAGCACGCUUCGGCGUGUGACUGCGUACCUUUUGUAUAAUGGGUCAGCGACUUAUAUUCUGUAGCAAGGUUAACCGAAUAGGGGAGCCGAAGGGAAACCGAGUCUUAACUGGGCGUUAAGUUGCAGGGUAUAGACCCGAAACCCGGUGAUCUAGCCAUGGGCAGGUUGAAGGUUGGGUAACACUAACUGGAGGACCGAACCGACUAAUGUUGAAAAAUUAGCGGAUGACUUGUGGCUGGGGGUGAAAGGCCAAUCAAACCGGGAGAUAGCUGGUUCUCCCCGAAAGCUAUUUAGGUAGCGCCUCGUGAAUUCAUCUCCGGGGGUAGAGCACUGUUUCGGCAAGGGGGUCAUCCCGACUUACCAACCCGAUGCAAACUGCGAAUACCGGAGAAUGUUAUCACGGGAGACACACGGCGGGUGCUAACGUCCGUCGUGAAGAGGGAAACAACCCAGACCGCCAGCUAAGGUCCCAAAGUCAUGGUUAAGUGGGAAACGAUGUGGGAAGGCCCAGACAGCCAGGAUGUUGGCUUAGAAGCAGCCAUCAUUUAAAGAAAGCGUAAUAGCUCACUGGUCGAGUCGGCCUGCGCGGAAGAUGUAACGGGGCUAAACCAUGCACCGAAGCUGCGGCAGCGACGCUUAUGCGUUGUUGGGUAGGGGAGCGUUCUGUAAGCCUGCGAAGGUGUGCUGUGAGGCAUGCUGGAGGUAUCAGAAGUGCGAAUGCUGACAUAAGUAACGAUAAAGCGGGUGAAAAGCCCGCUCGCCGGAAGACCAAGGGUUCCUGUCCAACGUUAAUCGGGGCAGGGUGAGUCGACCCCUAAGGCGAGGCCGAAAGGCGUAGUCGAUGGGAAACAGGUUAAUAUUCCUGUACUUGGUGUUACUGCGAAGGGGGGACGGAGAAGGCUAUGUUGGCCGGGCGACGGUUGUCCCGGUUUAAGCGUGUAGGCUGGUUUUCCAGGCAAAUCCGGAAAAUCAAGGCUGAGGCGUGAUGACGAGGCACUACGGUGCUGAAGCAACAAAUGCCCUGCUUCCAGGAAAAGCCUCUAAGCAUCAGGUAACAUCAAAUCGUACCCCAAACCGACACAGGUGGUCAGGUAGAGAAUACCAAGGCGCUUGAGAGAACUCGGGUGAAGGAACUAGGCAAAAUGGUGCCGUAACUUCGGGAGAAGGCACGCUGAUAUGUAGGUGAGGUCCCUCGCGGAUGGAGCUGAAAUCAGUCGAAGAUACCAGCUGGCUGCAACUGUUUAUUAAAAACACAGCACUGUGCAAACACGAAAGUGGACGUAUACGGUGUGACGCCUGCCCGGUGCCGGAAGGUUAAUUGAUGGGGUUAGCGCAAGCGAAGCUCUUGAUCGAAGCCCCGGUAAACGGCGGCCGUAACUAUAACGGUCCUAAGGUAGCGAAAUUCCUUGUCGGGUAAGUUCCGACCUGCACGAAUGGCGUAAUGAUGGCCAGGCUGUCUCCACCCGAGACUCAGUGAAAUUGAACUCGCUGUGAAGAUGCAGUGUACCCGCGGCAAGACGGAAAGACCCCGUGAACCUUUACUAUAGCUUGACACUGAACAUUGAGCCUUGAUGUGUAGGAUAGGUGGGAGGCUUAGAAGUGUGGACGCCAGUCUGCAUGGAGCCGACCUUGAAAUACCACCCUUUAAUGUUUGAUGUUCUAACGUUGACCCGUAAUCCGGGUUGCGGACAGUGUCUGGUGGGUAGUUUGACUGGGGCGGUCUCCUCCUAAAGAGUAACGGAGGAGCACGAAGGUUGGCUAAUCCUGGUCGGACAUCAGGAGGUUAGUGCAAUGGCAUAAGCCAGCUUGACUGCGAGCGUGACGGCGCGAGCAGGUGCGAAAGCAGGUCAUAGUGAUCCGGUGGUUCUGAAUGGAAGGGCCAUCGCUCAACGGAUAAAAGGUACUCCGGGGAUAACAGGCUGAUACCGCCCAAGAGUUCAUAUCGACGGCGGUGUUUGGCACCUCGAUGUCGGCUCAUCACAUCCUGGGGCUGAAGUAGGUCCCAAGGGUAUGGCUGUUCGCCAUUUAAAGUGGUACGCGAGCUGGGUUUAGAACGUCGUGAGACAGUUCGGUCCCUAUCUGCCGUGGGCGCUGGAGAACUGAGGGGGGCUGCUCCUAGUACGAGAGGACCGGAGUGGACGCAUCACUGGUGUUCGGGUUGUCAUGCCAAUGGCACUGCCCGGUAGCUAAAUGCGGAAGAGAUAAGUGCUGAAAGCAUCUAAGCACGAAACUUGCCCCGAGAUGAGUUCUCCCUGAC